This 60-nucleotide transfer RNA is filed under the name Eulimnogammarus cyaneus. RNAcentral's name for it is "tRNA-Leu". Lineage: Eukaryota; Metazoa; Arthropoda; Malacostraca; Amphipoda; Eulimnogammaridae. The record is from RNAcentral.
AUCACUUUGGCGGAUAAACGCACAAAGUUUAGGACUUUGGAACGGGAUCACCAAGUGGUA